GCGUCGGUGGCAUAACGGUUAGCAUAGCUGCCUUCCAAGCAGUUGACCCGGGUUCGACUCCCGGCCGAUGCA
Molecule: transfer RNA, 72 nt
Filed under: Caerostris extrusa
Lineage: Eukaryota; Metazoa; Arthropoda; Arachnida; Araneae; Araneidae
Description: tRNA-Gly
Rfam family: tRNA
About the family: Transfer RNA (tRNA) molecules are approximately 80 nucleotides in length. Their secondary structure includes four short double-helical elements and three loops (D, anti-codon, and T loops).
Source: RNAcentral